This 519-nucleotide long non-coding RNA is filed under the name Physcomitrium patens. Its description in RNAcentral is "long non-coding RNA (PPAT_LNC011228)". Lineage: Eukaryota; Viridiplantae; Streptophyta; Bryopsida; Funariales; Funariaceae. The record is from RNAcentral.
AGAAUUUUGUUACGAUUUGGUUAGGAUAUGGUUUAGGAAUUAGGAUUUGAUUUAAGGUUGGUUAGGAUUUGAUUUAGGAUUAGGAUUUGAUUAAAGUUUGAUUUAUGAUUAGGAUUUGGUUUAGGAUUUAGGAUUUAGUUAGGAUUUGAUUCAGGAUUAGAAUUUGGUUAGGAUUUGGUUUAGGAUUUAGGGUUUGGUUUAGGAUUGAUUAGGAUUUGAUUUAAGAUUUAGGAUUUGAUUUGGAUUUAAUUUAAGGUUUAAGAUUUAGUUAGUUUUUGGCCUAAAGUUUGAAUGAAGUCCACUAGGAUUUUAAUUAGGAUUAAAUUAAAAUUGAAUUAAGAUGUAUUUGAGAUAUAUUUGUGAUCAUUCUAAUAUUUCUUUAAGAUUUCUUAUUAUUUCUUUGUAAUUCCUUUGAGGUUUCUUUGAAUUUAAUUAAAGUUUACUUAGCAUUAUUAUAGUCUAAUUAGAAUUUAUUAUUAUUCUAUUAGAGUUAGAAUUAUGUUGUUGCAAUUUCCAUUC